This 76-nucleotide transfer RNA is filed under the name SAR202 cluster bacterium. Its description in RNAcentral is "tRNA-Thr". Lineage: Bacteria; Bacillati; Chloroflexota; Dehalococcoidia. The record is from RNAcentral.
GCCCUCAUAGCUCAGUUGGCAGAGCGCGUUCUUGGUAAGAACGAGGUCACCAGUUCAAGUCUGGUUGAGGGCUCCA